GACGAACGCUGGCGGCGUGCUUAACACAUGCAAGUCGGACGGAAAGGCCCUGCUUUUGUGGGGUGCUCGAGUGGCGAACGUGUGAGUAACACGUGAGUAACCUGCCCUUGACUUUGGGAUAACUUCAGGAAACUGGGGCUAAUACCGGAUAGGAGCUCCUGCUGCAUGGUGGGGGUUGGAAAGUUUCGGCGGUUGGGGAUGGACUCGCGGCUUAUCAGCUUGUUGGUGGGGUAGUGGCUUACCAAGGCUUUGACGGGUAGCCGGCCUGAGAGGGUGACCGGCCACAUGGGGACUGAGAUACGGCCCAGACUCCUACGGGAGGCAGCAGUGGGGAAUAUUGCACAAUGGGCGGAAGCCUGAUGCAGCAACGCCGCGUGCGGGAUGACGGCCUUCGGGUUGUAAACCGCUGUCGCCUGUGACGAAGCGUGAGUGACGGUAAUGGGUAAAGAAGCACCGGCUAACUACGUG
RNAcentral lists this ribosomal RNA (468 nucleotides) under uncultured bacterium. Its description in RNAcentral is "partial 16S ribosomal RNA". It matches the Rfam family "Bacterial small subunit ribosomal RNA", at positions 28 to 507 of the family's 1533-position model. The record is from RNAcentral.